AGUGAACGCUGGCGGUAGGCCUAACACAUGCAAGUCGAACGGCAGCACAGUAAGAGCUUGCUCUUACGGGUGGCGAGUGGCGGACGGGUGAGGAAUACAUCGGAAUCUACUUUUUCGUGGGGGAUAACGUAGGGAAACUUACGCUAAUACCGCAUACGACCUACGGGUGAAAGCAGGGGAUCUUCGGACCUUGCGCGAUUGAAUGAGCCGAUGUCGGAUUAGCUAGUUGGCGGGGUAAAGGCCCACCAAGGCGACGAUCCGUAGCUGGUCUGAGAGGAUGUGCAGCCACACUGGAACUGAGACACGGUCCAGACUCCUACGGGAGGCAGCAGUGGGGAAUAUUGGACAAUGGGCGCAAGCCUGAUCCAGCCAUACCGCGUGGGUGAAGAAGGCCUUCGGGUUUGAGAGCCCUUUUGUUUGGAUAGAAAAGCAGCAGGUUAAUACCCCGCUGUUCUGACGGUACCCAAAGAAUAAGCACCGGCUAACUUCGUG
This 492-nucleotide ribosomal RNA is filed under the name uncultured bacterium. RNAcentral describes it as "partial 16S ribosomal RNA". It matches the Rfam family "Bacterial small subunit ribosomal RNA", at positions 29 to 507 of the family's 1533-position model. The record is from RNAcentral.